Molecule: transfer RNA, 111 nt
Filed under: Marmota monax (woodchuck)
Lineage: Eukaryota; Metazoa; Chordata; Mammalia; Rodentia; Sciuridae
Description: tRNA.Ile
Source: RNAcentral
UAGGGUGUAGCUCAGUGGUAGAGUGCUUGCCUAAUAUGACACCUAGUCUAAUCUGCCAGUGCCAUGACAUUGGCAUGUGUGAGACCCUGGGUUUGAUCCCCAGCACUGAAA